UGCGGUGUGGCGAAAUCGGUAAACGCGCAGCCCUCCUACUACUACGGUAUGAGGCGCCAGUGCCCCAGGGCUUCCGGGUUCGAAUCCCGGCGCCGCGA
RNAcentral lists this transfer RNA (98 nucleotides) under Variovorax sp. WDL1. Its description in RNAcentral is "tRNA-Arg". It matches the Rfam family "tRNA". From Rfam's summary of the family: Transfer RNA (tRNA) molecules are approximately 80 nucleotides in length. The record is from RNAcentral. Lineage: Bacteria; Pseudomonadati; Pseudomonadota; Betaproteobacteria; Burkholderiales; Comamonadaceae.